RNAcentral lists this ribosomal RNA (396 nucleotides) under uncultured bacterium. RNAcentral describes it as "bacterial SSU rRNA". It matches the Rfam family "Bacterial small subunit ribosomal RNA", at positions 505 to 898 of the family's 1533-position model. The record is from RNAcentral.
GUGUCAGCCGCCGCGGUAAUACGGAGGGGGCAAGCGUUGUUCGGAUUUACUGGGCGUAAAGGGUGUGUAGGCGGCUGUGCAAGUCUGAUGUGAAAUCUUCACCGCUCAACGGGAAGAGGUCAUUGGAAACUGCACAGCUCGAGUAUGGUAGAGGCGAGUGGAAUUCCAGGUGUAGCGGUGGAAUGUGUAGAUAUCUGGAAGAACACCAGUGGCGAAGGCGACUCGCUGGGCCAUUACUGACGCUGAGACACGAAAGCGUGGGGAGCAAACGGGAUUAGAUACCCCGGUAGUCCACGCUGUAAACGGUGCGCACUAGGUGUGGGGGGUAUCGACCCCUCCCGUGCCGCAGUCAACACAUUAAGUGCGCCGCCUGGGGAGUACGGCCGCAAGGUUGAA